This 431-nucleotide ribosomal RNA is filed under the name uncultured bacterium. RNAcentral describes it as "partial 16S ribosomal RNA". It matches the Rfam family "Bacterial small subunit ribosomal RNA", at positions 29 to 507 of the family's 1533-position model. The record is from RNAcentral.
AGCGAACGCUGGCGGCAGGCUUAACACAUGCCAGUCGAGCGCCCCGCCAGGGGAGCGGCAGACGGGAGAGUAACACGUGGGAACAUACCUUUUGGUUCGGAACAACUGAGGGAAACUUCAGCUAAUACCGGAUAAGCCCUUACGGGGAAAGAUUUAUCGCCGAAAGAUUGGCCCGCGUCUGAUUAGCUAGUUGGUGAGGUAACGGCUCACCAAGGCGACGAUCAGUAGCUGGUCUGAGAGGAUGAUCAGCCUCACUGGGACUGAGACACGGCCCAGACUCCUACGGGAGGCAGCAGUGGGGAAUAUUGGACAAUGGGGGCAACCCUGAUCCAGCCAUGCCGCGUGAGUGAUGAAGGCCUUAGGGUUGUAAAGCUCUUUUGCCCGGGAAGAUAAUGACGGUACCGGGAGAAUAAGCCCCGGCUAACUUCGUG